Molecule: long non-coding RNA, 14095 nt
Filed under: Podarcis lilfordi (Lilford's wall lizard)
Lineage: Eukaryota; Metazoa; Chordata; Lepidosauria; Squamata; Lacertidae
Source: RNAcentral
CACACUUUUGAGGUCUAGAUUCUUCUUCAUCGAGAUGCAUGAAGACGUGUCCGGGGUUGUCAGGUACAUAUCAUCAAUUGAUUUGUAUGCUGCCUUUCCACAGCCAAAACUAUGCUCAGUGAGGCUACAACAUGAAAAGAUUUACAUAAUUGCAAAUUUAACAAAAGUAGGCAUAUUGUAAGCAAUAUGGGCAAAAACGAGCAAAACGCCUGGAAGGCGAGGGCAGAUGUGGGCUUGGGAUAUUUUUAGGCAGGGCUCAAAUGUAUACCAGGUAUGACUAUAUAAUGGGUGAUCUGAUACAACUUUCUUCACUUUUGCAGUACCAGUAGUGGGAAAGAAAUUCAUGGCCUUGAUUACGGUAAGAAUAGAGUCAGAUUAACUGAUAAACUCUAGUUUAAAUAAAUUCUGAUAGAUGUUAGGAAAUAUUUGUUUGCUACUUUGUUGUUCAUACUCUUAGGACAGGAGCACAGGAACCUCAAUAAAUAUGCAAACAUUCCCUUAAAAUAUUAAAAUUUGCAUUUGCUAAUUAUCCCUGAGGCUCCACUUUUAUGCACACCUAACAGGGAGCAAGUCCCAUUGAAAACUUAUUUUUUUAGUAAAUGUUGAGUUGUGCUUUGGAGCUUUAGUUGGUCAGACGCAACUGAGAUGUGGCAUCUUAUGAGAUACUAGUAAUCCACUUUGAACUGAGUUUUCAGUCACAGUAACAUUUAUCAUGGAGAAAGUACAAUUAAUUAUCAAAUGUUGUGAUAGUGCUAAUUAAUGUGCAGGAGUAUUUAGCCUUGCCCUUCUGCCUUCCUGAGACGGCGCUUUCUGUAGAUUUUCUUUGAUCUGUUGCCUUUCCCCCAAAAAAACAUUUUUAAAGCCAUUUUUGCUUCUUUUUCUGAUUACUGAUAUGCAGAAUGCCAGGGUAAUAAAGGCCUCUGCAGGGUAAUAAAGAGAGAGCUCACCCACUCAGGUCCAGAAAGAUACUGGGGAAAACACCCACCAUCUGGAAAGAUAAAUUGGAUUUUCUGAAUAUAGAGUGGAGUUGGAAUCAAAGAGCUUUUUCUUAUGUGAAUUUAUAUUCCUGGAGAAAACCAACCACUUGCCUGCUUUUCAGUUGAUUUGGGUGAACUUUUGCCAAGUAUUAUUAGUCUGGGUCUGUGAAGAAAAACCUUCCAAGCAGUGGGCAGAAAAGAACUGAUAAACUUCACCCCACUUUCCCCACUUAUGGUCCUGUUUACAAUACCAGGGAAGAUUCUGGAGCAGAUCAUUAAGCAACCAGUCUGUGAGCACCUAGAAAGGAAUGCUGUGAUCACCAAUAGUCAGCAUGGAUUUCUGAAAAAUAAGUCAUGUCAGACUAACCUGAUCUCGUUUUUUGACAAAAUUACAAGCCUGGUAGAUGAAGGGAACACAGUGGAUGUAGCCUACCUUGAUUUCAGCAAGGCAUUUGACAAGGUGCCCCAUGAUAUUCUUGUAAAGAAGCUGGUAAAAUGCGGUCUUGACUAUGCUACCACUCAGUGGAUUUGUAACUGGCUGACUGACCGAACCCAAAGGGUGCUCAUCAAUGGUUCCUCUUCAUCCUGGAGAAGAGUGACUAAUGGGGUGCCACAGGGUUCUGUCUUGGGUCCGGUCUUAUUCAACAUCUUUAUCAACGACUUGGAUGAUGGACUCAAGGGCAUCCUGAUCAAAUUUGCAGAUGACACCAAACUGGAAGGGGUGGCUAACACCCCAGAGGACAGGAUCACACUUCAAAACGACCUUGACAGAUUAGAGAACUGGGCCAAAACAAACAAGAUGAAUUUUAACAGGGAGAAAUGUAAAGUAUUGCACUUGGGCACAAAAAUGAGAGGCACAAAUACAAGAUGGGUGACACCUGGCUUGAGAGCAGUACAUGUGAAAAGGAUCUAGGAGUCUUGGUUGACCACGAACUUGACAUGAGCCAACAGUGUGACACGGCAGCUAAAAUAGCCAAUGCAAUUCUGGGCCGCAUCAAUAGGAGUAUAGCAUCUAGAUCAAGGGAAGUAAUAGUGCCACUGUAUUCUGCUCUGGUCAGACCUCACCUGGAGUACUGUGUCCAGUUCUGGGCACCACAGUUCAAGAAGGACACUGACAAACUGGAACGUGUCCAGAGGAGGGCAACCAAAAUGGUCAAAGGCCUGGAAACGAUGCCUUAUGAGGAACGGCUAAGGGAGCUGGGCAUGUUUAGCCUGGAGAAGAGGAGGUUAAGGGGUGAUAUGAUAGCCAUGUUCAAAUAUAUAAAAGGAUGUCACAUAGAAGAGGGAGAAAGGUUGUUUUCUGCUGCUCCAGAGAAGCGGACACGGAGCAAUGGAUCCGAACUACAAGAAAGAAGAUUCCACCUAAACAUUAGGAAGAACUUCCUGACAGUAAGAGCUGUUUGACAGUGGAAUUUGCUGCCAAGGAGUGUGGUGGAGUCUCCUUCUUUGGAGGUCUUUAAGCAGAGGCUUGACAACCAUAUGUCAGGAGUGCUCUGAUGGUGUUUCUGCUUGGCAGGGGGUUGGAUUCGAUGGCCCUUGUGGUCUCUUCCAACUCUAUGAUUCUAUGAUUCUAUUCUAUGAUUCUAGGAUCAUAAAACCAAACAAGUGAGUAGUCAACAAAGUAGGCUGUUUGGCGUUAUAUUUAUUAUUAUACUUGGGGGAAGUAUAUUGUAAGCAGAUACGCUUGCAGCUCAUUUUCAGUGGCAUUUGGAAAAUGUUUAACAAAACUUUACACAUGAGUAUAGCAGGCAUGGGGAACCUAUGACUCCCUAAAUGUUGCUGGACCCCAGUUGUCAUCAGUCGCAGCCUCCAGGACCAACGGUCAGGGAUGAUGGGACCUAUAAUUCUCAGCAUUUGGAGGACCACAGGUUCCCUGGACUAUAGACUUUGGGCGCAGUCCUGCUUUUCUUCAACUGAAAAAUCUGGGAGAGACUGUGCAUUCUGUUGUCAAUUUCACAAGCUAAAUUGCAGUAGUGGAACAUUUGCCAAAUUUUGAAUUUGUUUCAGAUCUUUUAAUCACAUGGAUCUAAAAUGUUUCCCUUUUGGCUUGAUUGUGACCCCUGGACAGUUAAAUCCAUAUCUCUCUUUCCUUUGCUAAACAACACUGUGUCUUGAGAGCAAUCCAGUUUCGUCCCAUAAAAAAGAUUAGUGAAGUGGACAAUAAGUCCCACUCAUGGCAUGUUGGAACACUGAGCUCAACAUUUUGGGUGAUCUUUGCCCCUUCUUGAAAGGCAAAGGAAUGUGAGCUGGUGUGGUGGUGAUGAUUUCUAGGGGGGAAAUGUGAGUCUCUGAAAGCUAAGAGCAACAUUAAGAGAGAGAUAAAAAGACUUAAAUCUGGGACACACAUGUCUACUGGGAUAAGGGAAAUAGUUCUGCUAGCCUUUGCUUUUCAUGAAAAGAUGUCAUGGAGGCUGGUUCAAGCAAAGCGAUUUGGGUACAGUGGUGCCCCGCAAGACGAAUGCCUCGCAAGAUGGAAAACCCGCUAGACGAAAGGGUUUUCCGUUUUUCAAUGCGCUUUGCAGGACGAAUUUCCCUAUGGGCUUGCUUCGCAAAACAAAAAUGUCUUGCCGAGUCUUGAGAUUUUUUUUCGCUCUCCCCCCCUUUUUCUAAGCCGCUAAGCCUUUAAUAGCCUUUUAGCAGCUAAGCCGCUAAGCCUUUAAUAGCCGCUAAACCGCUAAUCCGCUAAUCCGCUAAUAGGGUUGCUUCGCAAGAAGAAAAAACUGCUAGACGAAGAUACUCGCGGAACAGAUUAAUUUCGUCUUGCGAGGCACCACUGUAUAUGCACACGCACCCAUGCUCUGUAUCUGAGGUAACAUGUGGUGCCAGUGCUGUGUAUACAAAUAGAUCUACACAUAACUGUACAUAUUUAUGCCAGAUUCAUAUAGUUCUUCCCAGGGCCAUCUUAAGCAUAUCUAGUGCCGUGGUGCAAAGAUCCCUCCGGCACCCCCCCCCCCGUUUCCCAUAGUUGUCAACCUUUCCCCAAGCCUCUGCAGGGAUUGCUCUCCUCCAGAUUUCUUCCAUACUAGGAAAGGAGAGGCCAGGUCACACAAAUUGGGUGUUUGUACAUAGACAUAGGGCCAUGUACAAGCCACGUUUCCACUUUCCUGAGCCUAGAAAGCAUGGAUCCAAGUGCCUUUCCUCUUGAUCUGCACUUUCUAGGCAGGCGUCAGAGCCAUUUCCCCCUUGCCCCGCUUGUUUCCCAUGGAAAAACCACUCUUUAGUGCUAAAUUGGAGCUAAAUUGGAGCUAAUGCUAAACUGGAGCAAAAUUGGAGCGAUUGUCAAUCUGGAGAAAACUUGAAUGGCAGUUUGCUCCAAUUGAGAGCUAAAGUGUGGUUUUCCUUGGGGGGCGGGGAGAGCAGAGGGACAAGAGGAAGGUGUGGAUAAGCCCAUAGUCACAGGCAUCACAUACAUUGUAUAUUCUUAACACUUUCUCAACAUAAUUUCAUCAGUAAUUUUAUGCAUAAUUUUAUUAUUUCUUUGUUUAAUUCAUAUCCUGCCCUUCCAUGGGAACCCAGGGCAGCAAACAACAAGUGACGAAACAGUAAAAAAAAACAAACCCUAAAUAAUUUUGUCACUUCCAAACUCUGUCACCUCCUUGCUUAUCCUUGACUCUACAUGAUUUAUGAGUAAGUUAAAAAGUACCAGCUCCACUACAGAUCUUUGGUGCACCCUGCUGCUUUCACUGAGAGAAGAACUGUGCAUUUAUUCCUGCUUGCUGCUCUUUAACCAGCUACCUGCCCUCAUAAGCCAUGACAUAAGAGACUUAGGAGCCCCUCUCGAGAGACUUUGCAAAAGCUUUUUGGGAGUCUGCGUAUACAGUGUCUACUGGGUCACUUCUAUCUACCUGUUAGCCGACUCUCUCAAAAACUCCCCCAAAUUGGCAAGGCUUUGCAGAAGCCAUGCUGAUUCUUCCUCAAAGUAUGGGUGCUCUGGCUGCUCCCAGAAUGGCUUUUUCAUUCAGAUCCUGGUGGGCAAUAUAGUGCCUUCAAGAUAUUGUUAGACUCCAACUCCCAUUACCACAUGGGAGGAUGAUGGGAGUUGUAGUCCCACAAAUAUCUGGAGGGCAAAGUGGUUAAUGCUUAAUUAACUGUCUUUAAUUAUGCUUUCCACUAGUUUUCCUGUAACUAUCAUUAGGGGGCCCUGUAAUUUCCUAGCUUUCCCAUGGAUUUUUGUUUUUUGUUAGUUUGCAUCCUUAUCUAAGAAUUUUAGCCUCUGGGGGUGAAUUGCUGACUUUUGUCAAAUUAGGAGCAACAGAAUGACAUGCAAGUGGGCUCCAUAGUGGCUCUAGGCAGUUAUAAGUGGAAAAUACAUCAUCAAUUGGUUUUUCUUCCCCACUUUCAGGCCUGCCCAGAUUGCGGAUCGCCCCCUCCCAAACUGAAUGCAGUGCACCAGCCAUUUAUAGCAGCCCAGCAGGGGACUGAAGGGGACUGAUAGAUUUUCUAUUUUUGCAUCCUGCUGGGAACCUCAAAAACACAGGCAAAAUAUGUAGUUGGCGAGCUUCGGUGUGUCACAAGUUGUGCAAGUUUAAACUAGUGACUGAUUCAGCAUUUCCAGAUUUGCUAAAGAAAAGAAACUAUGUGUUCAUUCUUCUGAAUUCAUCUGCAGCUUUCUGCAUUUGGGAACCUCUCGUGUGUGUGUGUGUGUGUGUGUGUGUGUUUUACUUGUAGCUCAUAGUAUUUCCAACUGAGACAUUGUGAAGGCUGUGUCAAAUAAUCAGACGCACAAGUGAAAUACAUAUUCCUUCUGCAGUAACUGCCACAGGGAUUGAGGAAGUUACUGCUGAUGGGCUGAAAGUACACUACAGGUUGUAAAAACUACGAGUUAAGGAAAUUUCCUCUGAUUAUUGCUUUCAUAUAUGCCAAAAGUAUCAGUUCCAUUAAUAUUAUGAACUUUGGGUUUCUCACUGUACUUAGAAAUUAAUUCAUUUACAAUGUAGCAGUGAAGAAAUUCUUUACACUUAUGGAUAUUACUUUCAUAAUUACCGUAUUUUUUGCUCUAUAAGACUCACUUUUCCCCUCCUAUAAAGUAAGGGGAAAUGUGUGUGCGUCUUAUGGAGUGAAUACUGGCUGCGCAGCUAUCCCAGAAGCCAGAACAGCAAGAGGGAUUGCUGCUUUCGCUGCGCAGUGAUCCCUCUUGCUGUUCUGGCUUCUGGGAUUCAGAAUAUUUUUUUCUUGUUUUCCUCCUCCAAAAACUAGGUGUGUCUUAUGGUCUGGUGCGUCCUAUAAAGCGAAAAAUACGGUAAUUUAAUGUAAUAUCUGUAGGUUGGAGAUUCAGAGAAGUAGCGCAGACUAAGAUAGAGAAACUUUGGGUAGAAUGUGGAUUCCACCACCUCUUGCAGCUCACAAAAGCCUUCUCAUUCUGUCUCUAUUUAGGAGAACCACUGCAUUUUUUUACCUGAUUCUCUGACUGACUGAAAAGAAGCAUGGGUAUAACUUGCUCCCUGCUUCUCUCUCUCUCUCUCUCUCUCUCUCUCUCUCUCUCUCUCUCUCUCCAGUUUUCUAUCCACUGAAAACAAAGCUGGUGUUUUGAGAAGGAGAGAGCGAAACCUUCAUGAACCUAUUUGGCUGCUGGCUGUCUCUCUCAGGGGAUCUGAUAAUAAGGGGAUUCCUGAUUGGAAAGGCUUAAGCUGUUUGCCUCUUCUGAUGGUUAUAUAAUGGUAAAGAAAAUAUCUGAAAAUGUUGUAAGUCUCCAGAGAUCUCUCCUUCUGAAAGACAUGAUCCCUGAAUCAGCACCAUCCCUGGAACUUCUCUCUGCUUGGGGAAAAGGCGAGUGUGCAAUGUUUCUGCACAUCAGCUCUCUUAGAUUAAGCAAAAUGACGCAGCAAUAGUCACUUUUCUCAAAACUAUAGCAAGAUAGAACAAGAAGCCAAAUUUCCUCUUCCCCUUCACAUUGUUCUUUGUUAGCAUAAUUCUCUAUUUUGUGAUGGUAAAAUAAAUCCCUCAAGCUCUAGGGAGCAGUUUGUGUCUAGAUCACAAUACAUGUAGCAUCUCUCUAUACAAUCCAUCCAAGGUAAAAUGGUUCUGUUCAGCAACCCCCUGCUGAUAUUUUUUAUUCCAGAGAAAUGGGUUUGUCUUUGUUCAGCUGUGUCUCACUCAGCUUGUCAGAAAAAGAAAUCAUAUCCACUGCAUCUUCCAUGUGGCUCCCCCCCCCCCAUUUCUAAAAAGGUUUUCUCUCUCCUCCUCUUUCUCCUAUCCGAAGUUUGAAAAUAUUUUCUUCUUCAGAGUCUGUUUCUGGCAGCUCCCAGCCUGCUUCCACAGCAUUUGAAAUCUGCAGAAGAGCACAAGGCCACCUCCACCUCACCUUUCAUCCUGCCUCCUGCAGCUCGCUCUUCUCCCACUGCACAUCAACAGGUGCACUUGUAAUUAAAGGACUGAAAUCAAAGCAGGGAGCAAAACCACCUUCUUUUCUACUCCUGGACUUUGUAAUAGUCCAUCUUUGGCAUCAGUUUACCACUACAAAUUCCACCCACACAACUCCAGGGGUUGGGUUAUUGCACUCUAUAUGUUGUUGCUCAGAGUACCAACUGCUUUCUCUCUGUGGAAUAUGGCUGCAUGAGGUUGGGUUUAUAUGAACUUGGAACAUAGGGUGAAAUUGUUCCUGGACUGUAUUGCAGGUGAGGGAUCAGACAGCUGGACGCUUCAGCAUAAUUUCCUCUACAUAGAAAGUUAGGAGAUAAGAGAAAUAAUUCUGGUCUAGUCUUCUCCCUGACAUGCUAGUUUUCUAUUUAUAUGGAUUUUUUGGAGGGGGGGGUCAUAUGUGGAGCAUUAACACAUACAAUACCUUACCCGCAGUGUGAAGUGGUACAGUCCAUUUACAACAUGAUGUACUGCUUCUUUAGUGGCUCACUGGCUCCUUAAUCUGAAAUAGUCAUGUCUUCCCACUGGUUCUGGAUCUAUGACUCCAGGCAUGAUUAUAGCCACACCAAGGGUCAGCAAGAAUCAUAUCUUUGAAUAGGCAAGGGAAUGUCUACAAGUUGAAAUUUAUUUUCAUUAAACAGUUUGAGUGCUGUUGUGUUCAAGUCCUGCUUGCAGGCUGGCCAUUGUGAGAGCAGGGCACUGGUUUAGAUGGGCUCAUUUAUUUGGUGCCCCAUCCAGACUCUUAUGUUCUGGGAAAUUACAAAUGGCUUACACACAUAUCUGUGAUAAACUGAACUGGGAACUUUUUCUGGCCUUAUUUCCCUUUUUGUUAUUAAAAUUAUAAUUGACAUGGAUUAGUGAAACUCAUUUUCUUGAGAGAUUUUGAAGACUAGAAAGACUGUAUUGCGUUGAAAAUGAUGGCAUGUAUGACAAGCUUCCCCAUGGAUCAAUCUGUUUCACAGCUCUCUAGUUACCUUUGAUCAUUUCAAAAGGUAGAGACACAUCCACAUUCUUCAAGAUCUUUUAUUUUGAGCCCUUGGAAGACUCUCCUGUGUUGCGCUUAGUUCUUAGGAAAGAUUGUCAAGUGGACAAAAGGCCAGAAACUGGUCAAAGUCAAGCCCUGCUCUGAUGUCACUGUGUUAGCCCUGUGCUCCACCAUAUGCAGGGAAUAUUAAGUUGGGCUGUGAUUGAUGUUAAACACUGUAGGAAGUAAGGGCAUUCUUCAGCCAUGUGAUUCGUUUUUUGCUUGAUUUGAGUUCCUGAUGCUCUCUUGCAGGAGUUUCACCUACUUCUGUUCAGCUGUCGAUGCUUUGUCACAAGAGCCAUUUCUCCAGUGAGGGUUAAUUGUUGCUGAUAUCAGUACUCUAUUCUUAAUCUUAAUAUGUGAUGCUAGGUAAAAAAUUAUUUUUAUUUCCCCUGUAUUUCUAAUGUUUGAAACCCCUAAGUUUGUUAUGCUAAAUUCUUUAACGACGACUCUUUACAAAAAACUAACAUAGUUAUUAUGGCCAUGGUCACCUCAUCUGAUGCAUGAUGUCCAUACUAAAAUUGGCAUGUAUGUAGAACACCGGUCCUGAAACAUAUACAUUGGCUCCGAGUAUGUUUCUGCACAUAAUUCAAUGUGUUGGUGCUGACAUUUAAAGCCCUAAAUGGCUUCCGCCCAGUAUAUUUGAAGGAGUGUCUCCACCCCCAUUGCUCAGUCCAGACACUGAGGUCCUCCUCUGAGGGUCUUCUGGCGGUUCCCUCACUGCGAGAAGUGAGGUUACAGGGAACCAGGCAGAGGGUCUUCUCAGUAUUGGCACCCUCCCUGUAGAACAACCUCCUGUCAGAUGUCACGGAGAUAAAGAACUAUCUGACUUUUACAAGACAUCUGAAGGCAGCCCUGUAUAGGUAAGUUUUUAAUGUUUGAUGUGUUACUGUGUUUAAUUUGUUGGAAGCCUCGCAGAGUGGCUGGGGCAACCUGAGUCAGAUGGGUGGCAAGCAAGCAAGCAAACAUGAUACUGAUUCUCAGAUAAUGGUAUCGCUCCGAGUAACGCCCCACCCCUCCAUCUCCAGUCUACAUCACUUCUGCACCGGCUGAUCUGUGCUUUCUGCCUCUGAGCUUUCUGUUCUAUUACUCUUAAUGCGCACUGGGUCCUGGGAGAAGGGGAUGGUGGUGAGGAAUGCUUUCCAAAGACACUGAGUGUCAGCUGUCUCUCCCCUGGUGCUUAUUCUUCCUUCUGCUCUCCCAAUAUUUUCCAGCUCUUCCCCUCUGCAGCCUCUGAACUAUGACCUUCUGCAAACCACUGUUCUAAAUCUAUACUGUUCUCCUCUUCCUGGGAAGGUUCAGAAAGGGGGGAGGCGAUCCACACCAUUCCUCUUCAGUACAGUCCCUGACACUUGUAUGGCUUUGAGAAGUUCAUGGAGGAUAGGUUUGCUAUGCUUUUACUCCCAUGGCUAUGGACAAAGACACUGAAUGAUCUGUGAAUGAGUAUCAGAUGUUUGGGACAAACAUCGGAGGACAGUCAUCUCCAUCAAUCGCUGCUUGUGAGCACCCGGAUGCAUCUGGCUGGUUGCUGUUUGGAACAGAGUGCUGGACUUAGAAUCAUAGAAUCAUAGAGUUGGAAGAGACCACAAGGGCCAUCGAGUCCAACCCCCAAGUCCAACUUGGUUGGGUAGGAACAUAAAAGGCAGCAUAGAAGGUGGGCAGGUGUCUUUCCAACCAAAGCUGGAGAUGGCAGGAUUAAACCUGGGACCCUCUUCAUGCAAAGCAGAUGCUGUACCACCGAGCUGUGACCUUUCUGAGGUUUCUUCUGAUCCAACCAAACAGCAAAAUCUUAGACCUUUUAAACAAGGAUAUCUAUUCAAAUCAAGUAACCAUUUGAUGUCUGCAAGAAUCCCCCUGGCGUUUGGUCUCUUCAGAGAUUUAAAAAACUUUUAUUUCUGAAGACAGAGGUUGCUGUCUCUAGUUGCUAUGUUUUGCUCUAGGGAUGAAAACCAGGAUGAUUUUUCCUCCACUCAAGAACUCCUCAGAGACUGCUUGCUGCUGCUUUUCAGUAACACCAUGAGAUGUUUGCUAGAUCUUGGCGCUUAGCUGUUGACUCAUUGGUUCAAACCAAUGCAGUUAUUUAAGGCGGCGAUGAUGCAUUUAAAAAAAAUAAAAUAAAAUCUGAUUAAGAAUAACUUUUGAUUUAGAGUUCUCUCCCCCCUUUAGUUACAUUAUUUUUAAACUGAAGGGUUUAUUUCAGAGCGCCUGUGAGGGGCUCACAUGGUGGAAUUGCUUCCCUGUGGGAAAAAAGCAAACCUCUCUGAACCCAGGAAACUAGCCUAUGAAGCAGAAGACAAUGUGAAAUCUCUUCUCUGCACAGUUUUCUCUGCACAGGAGUUUAAAUACUAGAUAUGGAAAAACAAUCCUUCAACAUAAGUGCUGGAGCCCGGUUUUACUUUCUCAUUUGUUUGUAUGACAUCUCAUGGAUGCCUAUGGAAUAUAUAUCUCCAGCAUGUGACCAUUAGCACUUAGAAGUGCACCUAAGGCCCCUUUAUUCAAAGCACCAGUCCUUAAUGGUGUAUAGUAUUGAUGUUGAUUAUGCAAGAGGUUUUUUAUUCUCUUGCUUAUCAUUAAACUUGAUCAGAUCUUUCUGGCUUUUCUUUUUUUUACAUAUUAGAGGGAGGGAGGGAGGCAAUUAGUUUACAAUCUACACUUCAGCUGUUCAGUUUUCAAAGCACUUCCCUUGGAAUCGGUGAGUUAGAGUCAGUGAAUAAAUCAACAAUUACAGCUUUGAAUUUUUAAACAUGGAAUAACAAGAGGAUUCUAACUAACUAGGUAUCUCCAUGGAGUAGAUCUACUGAAAUGUGAACCACAAACACGUGCCAGGAAGUGGAUCUAUUGUAGCUGUCCUCUGAAAUUUGGAUUUCGAGUCCCAUGUUACAUUGGAGCUUUUGAUAUAUUUUUUUUAUUGAUGGUUACUCUGAAACAUUACAAACAGCAAAUGAUGUGGGAUGAUGAUCCACUUAUGGAACUACAACACUGAAUUUAAGGCCAGGUUAACUGUUAGUCUCAGUCAGAUCCAACAUUCAGCUAAAAUAAAGAGCUUUUUUGUUUUAUUAUCACUGAACAUUGGCAAACUGUUCUAUUACAAUAUGGUUUUUAUCAACAUAUGCAAAUAUUUUAGGCAAUAUGAAAAUCUCAACCAGUUAGUAUCUAUCAAAUAUCAAUCUAUUCCUUAUGGAGGGUCAGAAAACACAUUUCAUUUACAACGUUCACAAACUAGAAGCAUAAAACUGCUCAUUAGAAACACACAAUUCCCAAAGGGAAAUAAACCCUUUACAAAAUACAGUGAGUCACACAAACCAUUAUCUAAUACAAAUUCCUUCAGAAACACAAGCUUUUUACAAAGAUCUCUGUGACAAUUUCAACAUCACAAUGAAAGUAGAUAUUUUUUAUAAAAAACAAAACAAAACUCCAUGUACAGUUUAGGAUUAGUUUGGAAGAAAUCCAGAUGAAUGAAUAUGUACAGAAAGAAACUUGGUUCAAUGUAAUCUGUCAGGUAAAUUAUAUUUGCUGAAAACACUGCUUAAAUUGAAAUGUAAUAUUGCCUGGUGAAUGAAAUCUUAAUCUUUUUCUCUCUUUAUAGUCUGAUUAGGCUUCAUUCUUAUAUCUGUGUGAACUCAUACUAUAAAAAAAACAUUUAAAAUAUGCACCCAGGCAAUUCCAAUUCUGUGACCUGCACAAAUUAUACAAUCUCCUGAAUACUUUAUAUCAUUUAUUCCAUUUCACAUACUGGGUUAUGGUUUUCCUAGACCUGGGAUGUGGUAAUAACCUUGGCAGAGUCCUGAAGCCCACCACCUCAAACAGUCUUAUUCAGCCAAUCCUCCGGCUUCUGAGAUUUCAGCAGUUAUAACCCGUGUGUUGUCAAGCAUCUCUUCUCAGCCAUAAGUGUCCUCGACCCCGACCACAGUUGCCAACGAUGUGCAGUGGGGGCAAGGAAAUUCACUACAUGAAGUGCCUGAUCCACACAGCACAACAUGGCUGGGGAGGUAGGAGGCUUGUGAAAUUUGGCACAGGGGGACAAUCCCAGUGGAGAAUGGUUUUAACCCAGUGUAUAGAAACUUGGAGUGGCAUUUUCUGUGUUUCACUCUCUUAGUGGUUCCAUUCUAAUGCUGAUCCAAAUGAAAAGUGGUGACUUGGGAGUUUAUUGGAGAAAAUAUGUUGCUUAACAAGGAUAGUUCAGAGACCCAGUUUAAGUCAGCAGUACACUUUCUCUGUGGUAGCUCAUUGCAGCCUUAUUAAGAACUGGCUGAACAUGUCCUUGGAUGUGAGAGAGGAUGCACAUCUGCAUCUAAGGCUACUGUGCUCAUGUGGGACCAGUUGCCGGCAACUGCAGCUACACAGCCUGCUAGAGCAAAGUACAGCCAACUACUUUGCUCAGUUUGACGUGUUCCAAGAGAAUGAAUACAAGAAGACUGCUUUGGAGUGGGCAACACCUAAAUCAAUUCAAAAAGAGAGUAUGUUCUAACUUAAAUUAAACCUGAAUUCUGAAGAAGCAUUAACUGACAAAUGGUAACUUUGUGCCCAUCAAUGCCAUCAGAAUUUGCAUCCCGACAACACUGUACAGUCAUACCUCGGGAUAAAUACGCUUCAGGUUGAACGCUUUCGGGUUGCGCUCCACGGUGACCUGGAAGUAACGGAGCGUGUUACUUCUGGGUUUCGCCUCUCGUGCAUGUGCAGACGGUCAAAAUGACGUCAUGCACGUGCACGGAAGCGGCGAAAUGCGACCCGCGCACGUGCGUCUUGCGUUCCGUUCGGGAUGCGAAUGGGGCUCCGGAACAGAUCCCGUUCACAUCUCGAGAUACCACUGUAUUGUAUCCCACCAGAGGCUUGAUAGGCCCUAUGUUUUGGUGUCUGGGUCUACAAAUGUGGGGUCAAGAGGGAAUUAUCGAUAAUACAUGACUGAAUUUGUCAUGGUAGAUUGUGUGUAGCUGAGGGCUGCCCUUCUGUAUAGCAAUGAGAUGCUAUGCUGUGUUAAUACGAUGCACGUUGUGACAGAUCCAUUGAAAGGCUAAGCGGCUGCUGUGGUUCUGAAGACUGCAGAACUGCUCCUUCCCUCAGAAUCCGAGGGCAAAGAACAGCAGGGUACCUGACCUUCUAACACAACCUUUGCCAACCUUCUGCCCUCUGGGUGUUUUGGACCACAACUCCCAUCACCUGUCACUUCUGCAUGACAAAAUCCCCUCUUCUACCCAUCAGUUAAAGGUAUACAUGUUUAUUCUCCUCUGCACAGGAUUAUAGUGGGUAGACAGGAUUUCUGAUGGGAUGAGAAGUGGAAGAAGUAGGUUUGCUCCAAAACCAGAGGUAUAUCAUCUUCACAGCAAAGAAGAUAAACAGAAUAUCAAGGCAAACCUGGGCACAGAAUUCCCACCCCCCCAGUAGAUUUUGCUCUUGACUACACAAUGCUGCAUAUCCGAAUGCUUAAAAUAUUAAUGCCUUUUUGAGAGAGUAAUUUCCAUUCUUAUCCCUUCAGAUGUAUUGGGGGAAACCCUUUCUACAAAACAGAAAGCUCAGAGGCAGUGGUGAUUUGAAGACCUUUGUCAACUCUAUCCAUCGGAACGCUACAUCGAUGGCUGUGGAAAUAAAACAUCCAGUCUGAAAGCCUGUACCAAGGACCUGCAAACUCAGGCCCCCUUAAGAGUUGGCUGACUGUGAGGGGAAAAUGGCUCAUGUCUGAGCUGCUACAUGUCUAGGGCAACAGCAGACGUGGUGCCCCUAGGAAAGCUGGAGGAACUGU